This 211-nucleotide long non-coding RNA is filed under the name Elaeis guineensis (African oil palm). Its description in RNAcentral is "long non-coding RNA (EGUI_LNC011905)". Lineage: Eukaryota; Viridiplantae; Streptophyta; Magnoliopsida; Arecales; Arecaceae. The record is from RNAcentral.
UAUUCGAUAAAGAGAAGAAGAAGGCCCGAUCAUCGCUAUUUUCAUCGGAAUGACAGUGAGAACUUAUAAAGCUUAUUUCUAAACCACUCAUAAAUUAAACUGACACAAUUAAACUAUUAAUAGAGGUACUUUAAGCAUCUUUUGCCUAUAGACAAAAUAUGCCUAUCAUCAUGCUCAACCUCAAAAAUUCUUAUGGCUUUGGAGAUACGGG